GAGAACUGAAAGUCGGGUAUACCCAUGACAGCCGUUCCCAGGGCACAUUUCAGUUCUGUGGGCUGCAGGCUCACACACCCCGAAGGUAGUGGUAAUUACUUCGUAGUUCAUUAGGUUUUCCUUGUGUAGGGUGUUGAAGGAACGAGGGAAUAAGGUAGCUGACUUUGAAAUGAGAUGGGGGAUGGAAAUUCCAGGUGAAUUUAAAGCACCUGGCAAGCAGGCAUCUCUUCUCAGUGUUUCCUUGUUUUUGCCCCAGACUGGGAAGCCAUCACCUUCCUGGCUCUUUCAGAGAAUUUCUGUGUGGUCUUGGUCUGACUCAAUUAACCUCUCCCCUUCUGCAUUUCAUCAUGUGGAUAUGGGUAUAGGAUCAACUUCAAAGAGGUCCAGGGCCUAAUUAAUGUCUCUAGGGUGCCUGAAGAUUCUUGGAUGGAAAAAAAGAAAACCACCACCUGUAUGCAGAAUCGGAGACUGCAUGACAGCAGGUGGAAAUUAUUACUAUUAAAUGUGACUCCGUCUCAGAAUAUUUGGCAAACUCCUCCUCUGGGCCCUGAGAAAUGUCGAGUUGGUGAGAAUAUGCUUCCUUUAUGACCAAGAGUUCCUCUCUCUCUCUCUCUAUAGGCUAGCAAGUCCAAAUCUUCAGGGUGGCCCAGCAGGCUGGAGACCCAGGACAGCCAACGUUCCAGUUUGAGUCCAAAGGCCGUCUGCUGGAGAACCAAGAAGAGCUGAUGUCACAGAUGAAGUCCUAGGCCAUCUGCUGAAGAAUUGCCUCUUGCCUGGAGGAGAGGGGGAAACUGAGGCACCCAGAAGCAAAGCACCUGGCCCAAGGCCACAGAAAGGAUACGCUCUCCGAAUCACGGGCCUUCUCUGACUUUUAAUUGUAUGCUGGAAAGGUCUCACGCCUGGGGAAAAAGAAGUUUCUAGAAGGAACCACACCUCCAGAAAAGGGAUUGAGGGAGGAAAGCCAGGCCUCUGCUUUCCAUAGCACCUUGCUACAAAUAAUCAGAAUUUUACUUUUCUGUAGUAUUUUCCUUCCUCAUUAAACUUUUUAAAAGCAUGCUGACUUGGGGGAAAUACUGAAGCAUUUUAAUGAUGUAUGAAAUAAAAAAAAUAAUAAAACCUUCUGCCCACCCAGAGAGAAUACAAGUCUGGGAUCGGACUCGGGCUUUCCUUUUUCGCUCUCGCUUGCAGCCGCUCCAUUUCGGUGCCAUGUAGCUCAGCUGCAGCCCGCAACGUUUUUUUAAAGGAAAGAAAAUGAACGUCGAAACUUAGCAGGCUCAGCCAAAAGAGUGGAACCCGGUCUUCACUGCCCUUUUGCAAAUCCCCUUCUCACUUCCAUUUCCCUGAACUUUUCUCAGAGCUCUCAGCCCCACCGCAACAGCUCAGCUGGCUUUUUCUUGUAUUUUGUCUAAUUUUCUCUCGUCUUCCCUUGGGUUUCCGAAUCUUUGCUUGAGCAGGAAAGGUGACUGGUUGGGUAUGAGUGUUGGCACUUUCUAAGUCUCCCUCUCUCCCAUACAGUUCCCGUGCUCGUUAAUUCAAGGACUGAGACACACUGAGAAGACCCAAGUGUUAUCAUGCGACAGAGGUGCACUGGUUCCUUUCGAGCCCAUCAUAAAGGCCUUCGUGGGCUCCUGGGGGCCUCUUUCUGCCCUGUCCUUCCAGGGGAGAGCGGGACGCUUCACCAGUGCCUUUUCUCUUCUUUCAGUGGCACACUGAUGACUGAUGGGGGGCGACUGGGGGGCUGCAGGUGAAAAGGAGUGGAGCGGCUCCCCGCGCCCCACCCCUGCGUGGUGGGAGACCCCCCUGCCCCUGCCCCAGAUCCUGCCUUGAUGCCACACUCCCAGCGUCACCUGGUCUUGCUGUGAAACCACAUCAGCACCACGUGUAGGUCUGUCCGCCAGUGUUUUGCUCUUCUCUGUGGGUUCAUGUGAAAUUUGUCUCAAGGAGCUUUUAAAUCCCUCACAUGGUUUAAAAGACAUAUAUAAACAUUUUUGAAAACAGACAAAGUUAAACUUUAGUUUAGUGAUUAGGGACACCCAUUUGGAUGAUAAAAACUGUAAAGAAAAGCUCAGAAAUGAUUACCAUACAAGCCAGAAUAAUGGUUACUUUUUAGGAUGUGGAAGGGGCUGUGGAAGGAGCUUGAGGAGGGCGUCCAGGGUGACCUGCAAAGUUCUCUUUUUUAACCCAGGUGUAGUUACAAGAGUGUUCACAUUUUAAAUCAUUUAUCACGAAGUUAUACAUUUUUAAGCAGUGUCCUAUACCUCUUCUAUAAGUUACAAUUUUUUUUAAGUUUAAAAAAGAAUGUAGGAUUAUAUGGACCUCCUUAACUAUGUGUGGGGUUAUGGUAGUGCCCCAUGAAAAUUGACGGGGUUUUUUUCCUUUGGUUUUAAUAAAAUUAUUUCUAUUUCCUCUACUUAA
Molecule: long non-coding RNA, 2415 nt
Filed under: Equus caballus (horse)
Lineage: Eukaryota; Metazoa; Chordata; Mammalia; Perissodactyla; Equidae
Description: lncRNA (ENSECAG00000057631.1)
Source: RNAcentral